GAACUACUCCCUCCGUCCCAAAAUUCUUGUCAUAGGUUUGUCUAGAUAUGAAUAUAUCUAGUCAAGUUUUAGUAUUUAGAUACAUCCAUUUCUAAACAAAUUUAAGACAAGAAUUUUGAGACGGAGGUAGUACAAA
Molecule: microRNA precursor, 136 nt
Filed under: Hordeum vulgare
Lineage: Eukaryota; Viridiplantae; Streptophyta; Magnoliopsida; Poales; Poaceae
Description: microRNA MIR1122
Rfam family: MIR1120/MIR1122 microRNA precursor family
Source: RNAcentral